UACGAAGGGUGCAAGCGUUACUCGGAAUUACUGGGCGUAAAGCGUGCGUAGGUGGUGAGUUAAGUCUGUCGUGAAAGCCCCGGGCUCAACCUGGGAAUGGCGAUGGAUACUGGCUCGCUAGAGUGCGGUAGAGGGGAGUGGAAUUCCCGGUGUAGCAGUGAAAUGCGUAGAGAUCGGGAGGAACAUCAGUUGCGAAGGCGGCUCUCUGGACCAGCACUGACACUGAGGCACGCAAGCGUGGGGAGCAAACAGG
RNAcentral lists this ribosomal RNA (253 nucleotides) under uncultured bacterium. RNAcentral's name for it is "partial 16S ribosomal RNA". It matches the Rfam family "Bacterial small subunit ribosomal RNA", at positions 524 to 776 of the family's 1533-position model. The record is from RNAcentral.